Molecule: non-coding RNA, 1005 nt
Organism: Pelobates cultripes (western spadefoot toad)
Lineage: Eukaryota; Metazoa; Chordata; Amphibia; Anura; Pelobatidae
Source: the annotation of a GenBank genome assembly
CUGUGGCAAACCUAGCCACUUGGACUAAACAGAGACAAUAUGUUUUUAAGGGUUGCCUGUAUCUUUAAUACCAUUGUAUAUGUGCCUGGUUGUAAUCUGCUGUAUCCUGUAUGCUGUAUUGCUUGUAUUGGCUAUCUGGCGAAAGCAGAUAGUCAUAUUCUAUUUCGUUUCACGAACGGCACCUUUGCGAGCCGUUCGUGAACCGAAUGAACUAUCUUCUAAUAGCCCACACACUAAGGGACGUGUGGCGCUUGUUAACCGAUUGCAACAAUUGGUAAUUAGAGGCUCUCCUAGGUGGCCGCCGUUCGGCUAUCGACCACGCGGCGGUGGGCCAUCUUGGAUCCUUUGUUCCCCAGCGGUGUUUGGUUGUCGAGCGCAUGGAACUGAAAAUGGCUACUUGACGACGCGAACACUGCUGGGCUUCCAGACCGUUCGGGAGUCCCUGUGGGAGUAUCCAGUGGGAGUAUCCCUCUCGUGCAGCAAUGCCUGAUGGGAGAAAUGCCCAAAAUGUGAAGUCCCCCAUGUAGUCCCCUACUGUGUUACCCCUGCUAAGGCAAUAUAGAAACCCUUUCCAUGGGGACUUGUAUAAAUACUGGAGCUGCAAAUAAAGACCUCAGUUGACUCCCAGAACUGUGUUUCGUCCGGUUACUGGGGGAUUUGGGAUAUUGCCUUGCUUUUCAGCGCUGAAUAUUGCCGGUCUGCUACAGUAUCUUAGCAUGGCCUAUGAUUAGGAUCCACACUGGCAGUCACACUAUAGGUAUCUUAGCAUGGCCUAUGAUUAGGGUUUACACUGGCAGUUACACUAUAGGUAUCUUAGCAUGGCCUAUGAUUAGGGUUUACACUGGCAGUUACACUAUAGGUAUCUUAGCAUGGCCUAUGAUUAGGAUCCAUACUGGCAGUCACACUAUAGGUAUCUUAGCAUGGCCUAUGAUUAGGGUCCACACUGGCAGUCACACUAUAGGUAUCUUAGCAUGGCCUAUGUUUAGGGUCCACGCUGGCAGUCAC